This 501-nucleotide ribosomal RNA is filed under the name Tylenchorhynchus teeni. RNAcentral's name for it is "SSU rRNA". It matches the Rfam family "Eukaryotic small subunit ribosomal RNA", at positions 88 to 590 of the family's 1831-position model. Lineage: Eukaryota; Metazoa; Nematoda; Chromadorea; Rhabditida; Telotylenchidae. The record is from RNAcentral.
CGCGAAUAGCUCAUUACAACAGCUAUAAUUUACUUGAAUUUGACAACCCUACUUGGAUACCGGUGGUAAUUCUAGCGCUAAUACAUGCACCAAAGCUCCGACCGCGAGGGAAGAGCGCAUUUAUUAGAACAAAACCACACGGCUUCGGCCGUCCAAUGUUGACUCAGAAUAACUAAGCUGAUCGCAUGGUCUUGCACCGGCGACGUUUCUUUCAAGUAUCUGCCUUAUCAACUUUCGAUGGUAGUGUAUCUGACUACCAUGGUGAUGACGGGUAACGGAGGAUAAGGGUUCGACUCCGGAGAAGGGGCCUGAGAAAUGGCCACUACGUCUAAGGAUGGCAGCAGGCGCGCAAAUUACCCACUCUCAGUACGAGGAGGUAGUGACGAGAAAUAACAAGACCGUUCUCACAAGAGGCCGGUCAUUGGAAUGGGUACAAUUUAAACCCUUUAACGAGUAUCUAUGAGAGGGCAAUUCUAUCCAGCAGCCGCGGUAAUUCCAGCU